UCACUUUUAAUUUCUUAAUCCACUUACACAAUUCUCUCCCCCUUUUCCAAUUUCACAUCGAACCCGGGAAAGCUCAUUAGCUCAUUUGUUGUGUGUGUGUGAGUUGAAGAAGCGGGGGGAAGG
This is a non-coding RNA of Caenorhabditis elegans, 123 nucleotides long. The record is from Ensembl. Lineage: Eukaryota; Metazoa; Nematoda; Chromadorea; Rhabditida; Rhabditidae.